Molecule: ribosomal RNA, 991 nt
Filed under: uncultured organism
Description: bacterial SSU rRNA
Rfam family: Bacterial small subunit ribosomal RNA
Source: RNAcentral
CAAGUCGAGGGGUAAGGUUCAGCUUGCUGAAUACACGACCGGCGCACGGGUGAGUAACACGUUUGCAACCUUCCUCUAACUGGAGAAUAGCCCGAAGAAAUUCGGAUUAAUACUCCAUAAAGUCAAUUUAAGGCAUCUUUUAUUGAUUAAAGCUCCGGCGGUUAGAGAUGGGCAUGCGUGUCAUUAGCUAGUUGGUGAGGUAACGGCUCACCAAGGCCACGAUGACUAGGGGGUCUGAGAGGAUGAUCCCCCACACUGGUACUGAGACACGGACCAGACUCCUACGGGAGGCAGCAGUGAGGAAUAUUGGGCAAUGGACGCAAGUCUGACCCAGCCAUGCCGAGUGCAGGAUGACUGCCCUAUGGGUUGUAAACUGCUUUUGUAUGGGAAGAAACCCCCGAUCGUGAUCGGGGCUGACGGUAACAUACGAAUAAGCAUCGGCUAACUCCGUGCCAGCAGCCGCGGUAAUACGGAGGAUGCAAGCGUUAUCCGGAUUCAUUGGGUUUAAAGGGUGCGCAGGAGGAAUAUUAAGUCAGUGGUGAAAUCCUGCAGCUUAACUGUAGAACUGCCAUUGAUACUGAUAUUCUUGAAUAUAGUUGAGGUGGGCGGAAUGUGUAAUGUAGCGGUGAAAUGCUUAGAUAUUACACAGAACACCAAUUGCGAAGGCAGCUCACUAAACUAAUAUUGACGCUGAGGCACGAAAGCGUGGGUAGCAAACAGGAUUAGAUACCCUGGUAGUCCACGCUGUAAACUAUGAUCACUCGCUGUUGGCAAUACAUCGUCAGCGGCUGAGCGAAAGCAUUAAGUGAUCCACCUGGGGAGUACGGUCGCAAGAUUGAAACUCAAAGGAAUUGACGGGGGCCCGCACAAGCGGAGGAACAUGUGGUUUAAUUCGAUGAUACGCGAGGAACCUUACCUGGGCUUAAAUGCAGAGCGACGUCCGCCGAAAGGUGGAUUCCUUCGGGCGAUCUGCAAGGUGCUGCAUGGUUGU